This 695-nucleotide long non-coding RNA is filed under the name Helianthus annuus (common sunflower). RNAcentral's name for it is "sRNA HanXRQr2_Chr08g0356261". Lineage: Eukaryota; Viridiplantae; Streptophyta; Magnoliopsida; Asterales; Asteraceae. The record is from RNAcentral.
AAACCCUAGUUCUUCCUUAAAUCACCAAAUUGGAAGGGAAAUCAGAGCUUAAAUUCAUGAAUAAACGCGUAUAAACUAUCACCAAGUCAUGGAGAUCACAAGUUUGACCUCGUCAAGCUAAGUGGGAGCUGGAAAGGAAUGGAUCAAACGGGUCAAGUGCGCAAGGAAAGCUCGAACGGACGCAAACUGUAAGUAAAGCUUACACCUAUUUUUUUAGCAUACGUAUUUAUUCUAUAGGUGAUAAAUACAACAACAGAUCAUGUUCGAGUUAUGGUGAUAACCAUGCUUUGUAAUAAAUAUAAUUGUUUAGUCGUAUAGACCAAAUGGGUCAAAUGAUGGUGAUAACCUCAUAUGACCAUAUCGACUAAUGUUUGUUGUUAAGUCAUAUGCUUACAGGAACGAAUAGCAAUUUGGAUAAUUGCGUCAUCAUAGAAUAUUGAAUUAAUAAUAGCAAGGUAUAAACGGGUCUAUACGUUGACUCGGGCAAGGUGAUGUUCGUCUCAUUUCGGACGCCGAUCAAUCAAGAAUUCAAGAACCGAACACAAAGUUUUGAAGCUUCCGCGCUAAUCUAAUCUUGUUUUAGACAAUGUUUAUUUGUAAACACUAAACUCAAUGUUGUAUGUUUUAACUAGUUAGUUUGUAAACUAGAAUACCAUAACCAUGUAAACUUAGUUUUUAUAACUAAGUUUUGAAAU